GGUGCCAUUAUCUUUGCAGUAUAGUGUCACGAUAUCUGAUAGUAUGACAUCUAAUUCUGCAGCUAACAUUACAACCAAAAUGUAUCCUACACAUCUACAUUGUACUCAGCAUCCAUUGAUCGAUUAUUUGAAAUCCUUCCAAAAUAUCGACAUAGGAACACAUCCAUGAUGUAGACAUUCUACCAUCAACAUCAGACAUAAAGUCUGAAUUAGUGUAUCCUCCUACUCUUAGCUUUGAUUCUUCUCCGAACAUGUCCUCAGUUCUUCUUAAGAGCUUAAGGAUGUUUUCACAGCAAUCCAGCACUUACAGCCUGGAUACAACUGAUAUCUACUUGUGUCAAUCACUGUAUAAUCAGUUCAAGUACUUUAUGGCAUAUGACUAUGCCUGAGAGGGUAGCAGAUCCCUCUCCAAGAUUUCUAUGCUGAACACUUUCAGCAUCCGAUCUCUGUAUUUUAUCUGUGAAAACACAAGCAUCCAAUUACAUCUAUCUCUAUAGAUCUUUAGGACGCUCACUUUAUAUGUUUCAUGAAGAAAUCUAUAUUCAACUAUAUUUUAACCGAUGUCAGUAUUGGACACUCCCACUGACCCU
This 590-nucleotide long non-coding RNA is filed under the name Elaeis guineensis (African oil palm). RNAcentral's name for it is "long non-coding RNA (EGUI_LNC077872)". The record is from RNAcentral. Lineage: Eukaryota; Viridiplantae; Streptophyta; Magnoliopsida; Arecales; Arecaceae.